CCUACGGGAGGCAGCAGUGAGGAAUAUUGGUCAAUGGACGAGAGUCUGAACCAGCCAAGUAGCGUGAAGGAUGACUGCCCUAUGGGUUGUAAACUUCUUUUAUAAAGGAAUAAAAUGAGCCACGUGUGCCUUUUUGUAUGUACUUUAUGAAUAAGGAUCGGCUAACUCCGUGCCAGCAGCCGCGGUAAUACGGAGGAUCCGAGCGUUAUCCGGAUUUAUUGGGUUUAAAGGGAGCGUAGAUGGAUUGUUAAGUCAGUUGUGAAAGUUUGCGGCUCAACCGUAAAAUUGCAAUUGAUACUGGCAGUCUUGAGUACAGUAGAGGUGGGCGGGAUUCGUGGUGUAGCGGUGAAAUGCUUAGAUAUCACGAAGAACCCCGAUUGCGAAGGCAGCUUACUAAACUGUGACUGACAUUGAUGCUCGAAAGUGUGGGUAUCAAACAGGAUUAGAUACCCCUGUAGUC
This 460-nucleotide ribosomal RNA is filed under the name uncultured bacterium. RNAcentral's name for it is "partial 16S ribosomal RNA". It matches the Rfam family "Bacterial small subunit ribosomal RNA", at positions 338 to 795 of the family's 1533-position model. The record is from RNAcentral.